GACGAACGCUGGCGGCGUGCUUAACACAUGCAAGUCGAACGGAAAGGCCCUGCUUUUGCGGGGUGCUCGAGUGGCGAACGGGUGAGUAACACGUGAGUAACCUGCCCUUGACUUUGGGAUAACUUCAGGAAACUGGGGCUAAUACCGGAUAGGAGCUCCUGCUGCAUGGUGGGGGUUGGAAAGUUUCGGCGGUUGGGGAUGGACUCGCGGCUUAUCAGCUUGUUGGUGGGGUAGUGGCUUACCAAGGCUUUGACGGGUAGCCGGCCUGAGAGGGUGACCGGCCACAUUGGGACUGAGAUACGGCCCAGACUCCUACGGGAGGCAGCAGUGGGGAAUAUUGCACAAUGGGCGGAAGCCUGAUGCAGCAACGCCGCGUGCGGGAUGACGGCCUUCGGGUUGUAAACCGCUUUCGCCUGUGGCGAAGCGUGAGUGACGGUAAUGGGUAAAGAAGCACCGGCUAACUACGUG
This 468-nucleotide ribosomal RNA is filed under the name uncultured bacterium. Its description in RNAcentral is "partial 16S ribosomal RNA". It matches the Rfam family "Bacterial small subunit ribosomal RNA", at positions 28 to 507 of the family's 1533-position model. The record is from RNAcentral.